AACAAAUCUUUGUCGAACACUUCCUGAACAAGAACAAUCCUGAUGAGAUGUGGAAACGGAAACAGAGAGCAAUCCAUCGAUUGAGCUUUUUCAGAAUCACUUACGAGGUUUAAGAGUCCAGUAGAUCAGAAACAGAGAUUCGUCAAUCGAAUGAAACAAUAAUCGAUUGCCAUUGAAAUUGAAAAAUGAAUCGAGUAUCGGAAUCACCUGUUUCCCCAAUUUGACGACGACGUAUGGAUCGCUACUUCUGAAAUCUCGAAUCACGAGAUUUUUCCCUUGGAUUACGAUGACUUUCAGCCGCCCUGAUUCCGAAGGUUUCGCCGCCAUUACUUCUGGACUUAGCUGGGAAAUUUCGAAUUGAUUCUUCAACAAUGGAAGUCGAGAAAGCUUGUUUGAGGAUGGACGAAGAAAAUAGAAAGGUUUUGUGGUUUCAAAGAUGAAGAAAUUGUAGAUUUUAUUAACACAGAACCAAAUCCAUACAGGUAAAUCUCAAAUUGGAUGUAGUUUUCUUUUUAAUUGCCAACGCAACUGGAAAUCCACUCAAACAAAGUGACGAAA
Long non-coding RNA from Cucumis sativus (cucumber), 558 nucleotides. RefSeq lists it as uncharacterized. The record is from RefSeq and is a predicted model, not a curated record. The transcript is spliced from 2 exons. NCBI's taxonomy places the organism in Eukaryota, Viridiplantae, Streptophyta, Magnoliopsida, Cucurbitales, Cucurbitaceae.